UAAUAGUAAUUGCAAGGAGAGAGACACUACUGGAUACAGGGACACAAGUGGGAGCACAAGUACAGUGUACUUGCAGCAUUGUCUGAACCAAUGACCAAGCAAAAAAAUAAGAAAAACAGGGUAGAAAGAAAGGAGUCUCGGAACUAAACAGGUUCAGCCAUGCCAAAAACACAAAUCCAAGAGAUCUGCUUCAUCAGCACGGAUCCGAGAUCUAGAAGAAAGAAUUGAACAAAAGGAUAGAGAGGGAUGCAAAUGACAAGUAGCUAUGGCAUCAAGAGGAGUUAGCUGCGAGACUUGUAGCACAAGAGACAACACUUGAAGAGAUGGGGAUGAAGUAGCAAGAAAAGUAGUGUAAUGAGCCAGCAAGACAAGAAUGAAGCUUGGGAAAAGAAGCAACGUGAUGAAAUGCCAUCCUUUUGUGAUGAAAGAUUGGUGCUGAACAAACACUGCAAUCAACCAGGACAACACUUUUGUGGUCUUUAGUUAUCUAAAUAUUACUUUUCAACAUGUAUAUUGUCAUGAUUGUCAAACUUGUGAAUCGGU
Molecule: long non-coding RNA, 543 nt
Organism: Triticum dicoccoides
Lineage: Eukaryota; Viridiplantae; Streptophyta; Magnoliopsida; Poales; Poaceae
Exons: 3
Source: RefSeq, a predicted model, not a curated record